This 27170-nucleotide long non-coding RNA is filed under the name Gossypium barbadense (sea-island cotton). Its description in RNAcentral is "long non-coding RNA (GBAR_LNC019354)". The stretch from base 12539 to 12663 matches the Rfam family "MIR7504 microRNA precursor family". Lineage: Eukaryota; Viridiplantae; Streptophyta; Magnoliopsida; Malvales; Malvaceae. The record is from RNAcentral.
AAGGCCCGGUCAUUCUUUUCGUCCAUGGCUUCCCCGAGCUAUGGUACUCUUGGCGUCACCAGAUUUCUGCUUUGUCUUCUAAGGGUUACCGAGCUGUGGCCCCUGACCUGAGGGGCUACGGUGGCACGGAUGCUCCGGAUUCAGUCACCUGUUACACCUGUUUCCAUAUAGUGGGCGAUUUAGUUGAGCUUUUAAACACCAUCGCCCCUGACCAACAGGUGUUCGUGGUUGGCCAUGAUUGGGGAGCUAUCAUUGCUUGGUAUUUGUGCUUGUUCAGGCCAGACAAAGUGAAAGCUGUGUUCACCCUCAGUGUGCCCUUUACUCCACGUAAUCCACAAAUGAAGCCCACUGAUAGGUGGAGAGCUAUCUAUGGGAAUGAUUAUUACAUAUGUAGAUUCCAGGUAAAUCACAUUUUUUUAAUGUCUUUUAAACCACAAUUUGUAGUUCCCAGCAAGGCUUUCUGUUCAUUUCUUUCACAGUAUCCUAAGAAAUACAACUGAAACACAUUACAGGAACCUGGAGAAAUAGAAGCUGAGUUUGCAGAGAUGGGUACAGAGACCGUAAUGAAGGCAUUGCUAACAUACAGAGUUCCAGAUCCAUUAAUGUUACCCAAAGGGAAACCAUUCGGCCAUUCAGCAAAUACCCCAAUUACAUUGCCUUCUUGGUUAUCAGAGGAAGAAGUUAAUUACUAUGUCACUAAGUUUAACAAAAGCGGCUUCACUGGUGUGAUCAACUAUUACCGUAACUUUGAUCGGUAUUUAAUUCUUUUUCCAACUUUAAACACCCCCGUAAUAGGUGCUUUUUACCUUCUGUCUCAUGAUUUAACCUUACAUGUGUGUGUGUGUGCGCGCAGAAAUUGGGAACUGAUGGCACCAUGGGGUGGUUGUGAGGUAAAGGUAGCUGCCAAGUUCGUAGUGGGUGAUGUGGACCUGGUUUACCAUAUGCCCGGCAUGAAAGAAUACAUUCACAAUGGUGGAUUCAAGAAAGAUGUGCCAAUGUUAGAGGAAGUAGUGGUAAUGGAAGGAGUUGGGCACUUCAUCCACAUGGAAAAACCCGACGAGAUUAACAACCUCAUUUAUGACUUCUUCCAUCAGUUUGAUUAACAUUUUGUUUUAAAUCCUUGUCUGUCCCAUCUAUAUUUGUGUAAUAAAAUUUGGGUAGCUUAAGGACCUUAAUCAUCUGUGCAUGUAUCCAGCUGAUUUCGGGAACUGAUAUUUGAUCUUUCCACGCCCCCAGCAUCCUUGCCCGAAUGUUUUUAGAUAUAUAAUUGAAAUAUUUGUGUUCAGCAAAUAUUUGUAUACGAGAUUUAUAGCUUCUUUUCUUGAAACUUACAAUAAUAGUAUUGAGUAGAAGGUUCUUGAGAAGGAUGCACAAAUUUUUUUUUUUAUUAUAUAUGAUCAAUUUGCUGCUAUCGAUCUAUUACUAUACUAAGAUAGUUAAUAAGAUUUUUUUUUAAAUGAAGAUAAUUUAUAAGAUAGUUAAAUCAUAUAAUUACAGAAGGCGAAGAUAGAUAUAAUUUUUUGGUAAGAUUAAAGUAUAAUUUUUAUUAUUAUAUUAAUUUAUAAUUUUAUAAAUGUUAAAGGAAUUAAAAAAAAACAUAUUUACCCUUUUUUAAAGGGUAAGGCUAUUCCACCCCUUAUCUUCACCUCUAGUGUUACAAUUAUAUAAAAUAUUUAUAAAUUUUAUUUUAAAAUAAAUUUCGAAAAAUAUAUUAAACUAAUAAACUUCAGAGUAUAACUUAAACUUAUCUAGUAGCAUCAAAAUUAAAAAAGAAAAAGUUAAAAAGCCUUAAAAGCUCUUAAAAAAUGCAAUAAGGUCUAAAAUCAUGAUUUCCCAAACUUCCCAUGUUCACAACAUAAAGUCAAAACUUAUUAAAAUAUUAAAAGGAAUUAGUUCACUUGCUAAUUGUCUUUGUUGGGUUAAGUAAACACAAUUUUUUUAAAGUAUGUAAUUGCAAAAUUUAUAGGUAAUUUGUAAAAAAAAAACAAUUCAAACAACAUUCAAUGUCAAAAUUAUAAUAAAGACAAAUUCAUAAUUUGUAUAUAUAUAAAUAGAUAAAAAAUCAUCUCCUUUAGGAGCUAUGAUCAUCCUUAUCGUCGAUGAUAAAAUUUAAAACCACAAUUAACUCCAGUGACAAUGGGUUGAAACAAAAAUAAUAAUUAACACUAGUGGCAAUAGGACAAAAACCACUAUUCUAAACCAGUGGCAUGGCUUAAACCGAUUUUCAAGUACAAUAUUAUAUGUCGACAUGGCCAACAUUUAACCCCAUUGGUAGCAUUGGAACAUAGAAUAUCAGGAGUGCUAUACCACCUCUACCUUGGGACAUGUGGCAGCACAGAAGGCCACCCGAGAGACACCCCUCCGCUCACUACCAAUCGGCUAGUCGCCAGAAGAUUGAUGGCCUGAUUCCAACUAGCCUUUCAUCUUCCCCGAAAGGAUUCUUGUCAACCAUCCCUAUAAGGUUACUACCUGUAAGGAAUUUAUGUUUUUUGAAAGUUUGAAAAUGGAAAUAAAUCAUUUGAUCUUAGUGAACUGUUGAAUGUGGAAAUAUUAAAUAUACUUUCUCAUAGAUUCUUUUACGAUAAAGUCGUUAUGAUUUUAACAGAAUUAAAAUUGGGUUUAGAAAAUUAUUUAAUUGGAAAUAUAUUGAAGUUCAUUUUGGGAAAUAAAAAAAAUAAAUAUUUAGUUAGAUUGAAUUAUUGUAACACCCUUAACCCGUUUCCGUUGUCGGAUUAAGGUUACAAAGUAUUACAGUACAAUUCAGAUGAAUUAAAUUCAAACAAAAAAGAUUAGGUAAAUUAAAUAAUAACAUUCAAUAAUUCUAUUAAUCAAGGUAGAAACACAUUUAUGAGCCUUAAAUCGAGCUUACGGGGUCCUAAAAAUGGUUUGAGAACAUUACGGGAUAAAUUUGAAACAAAACAAAAAGUUUUGGAAAAACUUAAAAAUUUUGGAAAUAGGGGUCACACGGCCGCGUGACAUAACCCAGACAAUGUGGACAUCCUAAGUCUGGACACACGGCCGUGUCCCAGCCUGUGUGUCCGUCAGUGUGGUAUUCGAAAUAGAGUCACAUGGUAGUGUCGUAAGUCAUGUGCCAGACUGUGUUACAUACUAACUUGAGGCACACGACCAUAUCGUAGACCGUUUGAAACUUUGCACCUAAAACAAGAAUAGCACACGGCCGUAUGGGGUGACCGUGUGUGGCACAAGGUCGUGUGAUAGCCCAUGUCCCAGGUCGUAUGCCCUUAUUUGAACCUUCAAAAUCAAGUUUACCAAAAUAUGCAUACUUGGACAUCAAAUAACUCAUUUACCAUCAUUUAAAGCUAUUCAAAACACACUUAAAUAAGACCAAAACAUGCCAAAAUCAUUCAACCUAAAUGCCUAACCAAUGUGCUCUCAUUGACACCACAAUUCAAAUGUCCAAACAAGUUGCAUUUCAAAGUUACAUGAUCAUAUAUUAACACAUACCAAAUUUUUCAUUCAUCCACAAUAUCCAAUUCCAUUCCAAAAUAUGUUAGUCUUUCACUAAUAGUAUAAAACAAAAUGACCAAAUCACAUACUUAUGAACCUUUACAAGUUAAAACAUCAAAACAUAUAUAAGAUACCAAAAGUUCAUCCAAGACAAACAUCAUUCAAGUGUAACAAACACCACAAGUAACAAAUAACCAAAAUAUUUACAAACCACCUAUUACAUGCCAUAUAACCAAAAGUAAUCCUUCAAAAACUACCAAAAGAUAAUCGAAUAGUGUGGUUUCUUCAAAUUGACCCGAUCACACGAUUUCCACGAAAUGAUAUCUACAAGAAAAUUAGAUAAAUAACACGAGCAAGCUUUUAUAGAGUUUAGUAAAUUCGACGGUUAAAACGAUAAAACUUACCGUAGUAAACACAAUAAUUAUAAUAACAAGAGUAAAUAACAGUGGUUCCUAUCAACCACAAUCAUUAAUAGGUAGGGCUGUGCAUUAUUCGGUUAAAACCGAAUUUUUUCGGUUAACCGACCGAGUUCGGUUAAUCGGUCGGUUAACCGAAAAAAUUCGGUCUGGGGUCGGUUAAGGUUUUUUGAUUUGUUCGGUUAACGGUUAAAUCGGUUCGAAACGGGUCGGUUAACUGAACAAAUUCGGGUAAACCGAAUUUACAGUUUAAGGGAGUUGGGCCGAAUAGGACAGCCCAAAUGUAAGUAUUCAACAGCCAUAGGCCCUAGCCCAAGAAGGGUAGAACUUGGCCUGCUGUGUGCUGUCCAUUAGACCAUUACCGUUUGGUCCAUUUCUCAGCAGCAGAGUGAGCAAACACCCCUAACAACACCCCUAUUCACAACACACCUCCAGCUCUCCUCCCUAAUUUCACAAAUUUCACUUUCACUUUCACACUCACACUGUCACAAACACAGUCCCAACAACACCCAUAGCCCUAAAUCUCAGUCUCAGUCUUAACUCUUAACACCCAACACCCAACAAACACUCAAUAGUAGAAUCGGGAGUCGCCGAGUCACCAAGUCGCCGAGUACCAGGUUUGCUUUCUUCUAACUUCUUACCUCUUCACUUCAUCUUAACCAAUGCUAUCCAUGGUUGCUGACUUGCUAUCUUCUUUUGUACAUAUGAAAUUUUUAAUAUAUAUAUUAGGUUUUACAAGCAGCUAUGUAAAAAAAAAACCCUAAACAGUAAAAAUGGUAAACGUACAUGAAAAUUGAAAUCAUGGGGAGUGAGGCAGUGAGCAAUGAAAUGAAAUAUAUAGAAUUGCUUUUUCAGUUUUUCUGUGGUGGAUUGAAUAAUGAAUAGAGUCAUGACCAUUUCUUCUUGGGCCUUUUUUCAUCAUUAUAAUAUCAGGGCCAUAGGAAAUUUUUUACUAAUAUUAUAAUUUUCAUCAUUACCCAUUUCCAACAUUCAAUUUAGCUUGUUCUUUUCAUGGCGAAUUGUGCUGUUUGUAUUUCGAUUGAACUAAUAAAAAGCUUUUCUAUUACUAUUCGAGUUUUUAAUGAAAUUCUUUUAAUAGUUGUUGACUAGAUACAGUUAAAUAGACAUUAUCUAUUGUCUAAUUCUGAUCUUAAUAUUAUUUCGUAAUUAAUAAUUAUUAUUUUUUGUUAUAAAAAAUAUCUAAUUAAAAAACCACCAAUUUGGAAUUUAAAUAAUUCAAAGUCUUUGCGUCAUUUCUAUUUGAUUUAGUGACAACAUCUAUGACUAUGCUAUUCAUUUUUAGAAAUUGAAAAACAGAAGGCCAAAAAGCAUUAGAAUUGUUUGAUCUACAAUAUAGCAUUUUUUAAAUAUUUUACCAAUUAAUAUCUUAAAUAAUUUUAAACUUAAUGGUAUAUAUUUAUAUAUGGAAGGAUAAUUAUAUAUAAAGAAUUUGAUUAAAUUAGUGUAAAAAAUAUUUUUUUUGAGAAUAUUUCUAUUUUUUAUGUUUUAUAUAAAAUAUAAAUGUAUGGUAGAAAUUAAACUCAAAAUACCAUAACAUACCAUUCACUCAUCAAUUUUCUCAUUUCGAUCAAAGACAUGUUUAAUUAAAAUAUAAAUUGAAUGUUGAAAAUACCAAACUUGGUCUAAUACCUAAUUUCAUUGGUAGCAGUAGGCAGUAACAAUCAAUGAACAUCACCAACAAGCAAAAUAUGGAAAUUUCAGCACCAUGAUCUUAACUUGGUACAUGCGAACAACAUAUAUGAUAUAUCUAGAAACCAUAACUUAAAUUUAACAAUUUUAGUGUUUUGAUAUCUUAACUAAACUUGAAUAUGUUUGAUACUUUGAUUAUUCAUCCAAACCCUAAUUUUGUAAUGGGUUAAACUAAACUUGUUAUGCUGUUCCUGAUCUUGCAGAAUGUCAACCGAACCAACAUCUAUUGAGGGUAGUGUUACACCUCCUACUUCGAUAGAUUCUGAAAAUUCGGGAGUUGGAGCUUCAAUCCAAACAAAGGGGACUACCGGGAAAAGAAAGGCCCCUCCUCAAAGGUCAGAAGUUUGGUCUCACUUCACUAAAUUUAUUAAUAGUGAGGGUGCAAGUAAGGCUAAAUGUAAUUAUUGUGAAAAGGAAUUUUGUUGUGAUAUGAAAAAAAAUGGUACUGGGUCCUUGAAAUAUCAUAUUGGUUCAUGUAAGAAAAAUUAUAGUAAUGUUGUUGACACUAGUCAAGGACAACUAGUUUUACCUAGAAAGGGAGUUGAAGGGGGGAAGGGAAUCUUUCAACUUGGAGAUUUGAUCAAGAAGCAUGUAGGAAAGGAUUAGCACAAAUGAUUCUGAUUGAUGAAUUACCUUUCAAGUUUGUUGAAAGUGAAGGUUUUAAGAAAUUUAUGUUUGUGGCAUGUCCUAGAUUUCAUAUUCCUUCACGAACUACUAUGACUAGGGAUGUUUAUCAAUUGUAUCUAGAUGAAAUGGUCAAGAUAAAACAACUUUUGAGAAGUUCUUGUUCUAGAGUUUGCUUAACUACUGACACAUGGACAUCUUUGCAAAGAGUUAAUUAUUUGUGUAUCACUGCUCACUUUAUUGAUAAUGAUUGGAAAUUGAAUAAAAAGAUUUUAAACUUUUUUCUAAUUUCUAGUCAUAAGGGUGAGUCCAUUGGGAUGGUGAUUGAGAAAUGCUUGUUGAAUUGGGGGAUUGAUAAGUUGUUUACUGUUACUGUUGAUAAUGCAAGUUCAAAUGAUGUUGCUAUUGGUUAUUUGAGAAAGAAAUUUAACCCUCGAGGGGGUUUAGUUCAAAAUGGUAAAUAUCAUCAUAUGAGAUGCAUGGCACACAUUGUGAAUUUGAUUGUUGUUGAAGGCUUAAAGGAAAUGAAUAAAUCUGUUGAACGUGUUAGGGGGGCUGUUAGAUAUGUGAGACAAUCUCCAGCUAGAUUACAAAGGUUUAAGGAGUGUGUUGUGGUGGAAAAAAUAGAGUGCAAGAAGAUGUUGUGUCUUGAUGUUUGUACUAGGUGGAACUCGACCUACUUAAUGUUAGACACUGCUCAGAACUUUGAGAGAGCUUUUGAGAGAUUUGAGGAGCAAGAUACAAACUUUAGGGCUGAACUUGAAAGGGGAAAGGGUUGGCCUAGUGUGGAUGAUUGGGAUAAUGUUAGAAACUUGAGGGAUUUCUUGGAACACUUUUAUGAAGUCACUUUGCGUAUAUCCGGCACUUCAUAUGUCACGUCCAAUAAUUUUUUUGAUGAGCUUUUCGAAAUUGAUAUUCUUUUACGAGAUGCUCAGUUAAAUAGUAAUAUUGAUUUCAAUGUUAUGGCCAUCAAGAUGAAAGAGAAGUAUGAUAAGUAUUGGGGUGAUAUUGAUAAGAUGAAUUUGCUUAUGUUUGUUGCUUGUGUGUUAGAUCCUAGACAAAAACUAAAGUAUCUUGAAUUUGCACUUAGUGAAAUGUCUAGUUCUGAAAAAGCUUGUGAAAUGAUGCAAAAGUUGAAGGAAUCUUUUUAUGAAUUGUUUGAUGAGUAUAAGCCUCCACUUCAUAGUACUUGUAUCCAAUCGAGUGUGUCAACACAUGUUUCUAUUGGUGAACCACAACAAAAAAUGAAAAGGCGAAUGCAAGCUUUGUAUAAAAAGCGUGAGUUGGAAAUUUGUGGUGAGGAUAAAACAUCUGAGUUGGAUAAAUAUCUAGCUGAGGCUAAUGAAGAAUUUGUUGAAGAUUUUGAUAUUUUAUUGUGGUGGAAAGUGAACAGCCCUAGAUUUCCCAUUCUUUCAAAAAUUGCCAGAGAUGUGCUAGCUAUACCGGUUUCUACGGUUGCUUCAGAGUCUGCAUUUAGCACCGGGGGACGUGUGCUUGAUCAAUAUAAGAGUUCUUUAACUCCUAAAAUUGUACAAGCUCUUGUGUGUACUCAAGAUUGGAUUCGAAGAUCAUCAUCACAAGAAGACAUAAAAAAGAUUGAAGAACAAAUCCAAGAGCUUGACAAGAUUGAAAAUGGUAUGUUUAUUGUUUUAUUUUAAUAGUUUCAAUUUUUUUUAUCAUAUCACUCUUACUUAUUUAAUUGAUUCAAUGUUUAGACAUUUCUUGGAAUGCAUUAGAGCCUACCCUAGAUUCAUGAGCUUUCGUGAGUUAAAGGGUAUGCUUACUACUAUCUUAUUCUUGUUAAUUUAUAAUCUAUUCGUUUGUUUAUAUUAUUUGAUUUUUUUUAAAUGUGUAUAUUUCUAUUAUAUGCUAAAUUUUUGCUCAUGUUUUUUUUUUAGGUUUAAUGCAAAUGGAGAUAUUUUGUAGAGAUGAAAUGGAUAUAAAUGGAGAAUAGAAAAAAACUUACAUGUCAAUUAUGUGUUAAUUCAAGACUUAUGUAAUGUUUUUAAUUAUGUAGUGAUUCAAAGACUUAUGUAAUAUUUUUAAUUAUGUAGUUAUUUAAAGAUUUAUGUAAUGCUUUUAAUUAUGUAGUGAUUUAAAGAUUUAUGUAAUGCUUUUUUAAUUAUGUAGUGAUUUAAUUCGGGUAAUUUGGGUAAUUUUCGGGUAAUUCGGGUAAUUUAGGUAAUUUUCGGGUAAUUCGGGUAAUUCGGGUAAAUUGGGUAAUUCGAGUAAAUCGGGUAAUUCGGGUAUUUCGGGUAAUUUUUAACCAAAAAUGAACAAAACAUAUUUUUCAGUUAAUUCGGUUAACCGACCUUAUUAACCGAAAAAAAUUUCGGUUCGGUUAAUUAUUUUUAAAAAAAUUCGGUUCGGUUAACGGUUAAAAAAAUUUGAGAGGUCGGUUAAUUUGGUUUUCACAAUUUCGGGCCGGUUAACCGACUGAACACCCCUAUUAAUAGGUGAGUAUAUAUAUGCAGUCAUGUACAAGUUACAUGUUAACAUAAUCAUACGAGAUAAUUCAAUAUUAAGUCACAAUGCUUUCAGGAAAUUCAUGAAUAAUCUUCAAACAAUUUAAUAACAAAUCGUUUAACACUAGAGAUAUUAUUCGAUGAAUGAUAUACAGAUAUGAGUACUUAGUUAUCCAUCUGAAACACGCCAAAAGCUCAAACGAGCCAAUCUAACCGAAAACAUGGAUCUAUUCGAUACUAAAAACUAGUUAGCACUCUAAUUAAAAUGCAUAAAACGUUUAUUAAAUUUAAAUACACAUUCAUUGAGGGAUAAAAAAAUUUAAUACACAUUUUCCUUAAUUAUAUUAGGCAUAAUAUCAAAUUUAGUCUUCAUUAUUUUUAUUUUUUAUUAAUUUGAUCUUUAUUUUUUUAAUCUAAAUUUGGCUCCAACAUUUUAAAAAAGCCUAUUCAUUUUUAAUGAAAAUGAUUAUUAAAAUAUUAAUUAUUGACCAUGUUUGUAUGGCAGUUCACGUAUAUUUCGUACUGACAUGAAACUAUUUAUCUCAACAAAUAAUCUAAAAACAAUACAAAUAUUCAAAAAAAAUUAAGAAUUUCAAAAUUCCAAAAAAUAAAAAUAAAAAGUUCAUAAAAAUAUCUAAAAAUUAGCAUAGAGUACAUGUGAAUUGUCAUGCAAGCUAUCAUAUUUAAAAAUUUAACUUUUAGUUAGCAAUUCUAUUGAAAAACUAAUAAUUUGAAUCAUUUUGAAAGAUUAAUGGUCAAAUUCGAUCUUUUUUAAAAGAGCAAGGCCAAAUUUAACUAAAAAAAUAAACGUAAAAUUGACAAAAUAUCCAAAUAUUGAGAGCUAAAUUUGACAUUAUACCUUUAUAUUAUCAGCUAAGGAAAGAACUAUCCACCAAUUAGCUUUCUCUUUUAUUAGAAAAGAUCUAUCCACCUUCAAUUUUACGGGGUGUGCAUUUCGGUGCGGUUUUCGGGAUUUGAUAUUAUUAUUAAGUUAAACGAAAUUUUAAUUGAAGUAAUUAUAAUUUUAUUUCCUUUAAUUUUUUCACAUAAUUAUCUUUUUUAUUCAAUUUAUUAUGUCGUAUCACUUUUAAAUUUACUUUUAUUUUAAAUUCAUUAUAAAAAUAUUAAAAAUUAAAUCAAACACUUUUUAAUAAACUCAAAAAUUAUUUAUUUUCUUACAUGGACUUUCUCUUGUUAUAAAUAUAUAUUAAACGAUAAAAACUAAAUGAAUAUCAUAAAAAUAAAUAAAUUAUCAAUUUAGAUUUUAACUAUUAAUGGAUAUUGAGUUUAAGGGGUGGGGGAUUCAAAAGUACCAAAUUUUAAUAACUAUUCGGAUUUAAUAUUUAAAUUAAUUUUAAUAUUGGGUAUAUAAAAAGUUAGGAGCUUAUCGUCUAUGACAUUAAUUGACAUAAAAAACCUAUCCUCCGCUUAACUUUCUUUUUAGAAGAGAAGAUUAAAAAGCCUAACUAAAUUUACGUGUCUCUAGAUAAUUGAUUGAAGAAUCAAAACAAAUUCACAAAGAUAAGCCCACCCUAAACCUACUAUUCUGCUAGUUUACUUAAGUGCCAUCGAAAUUAACAAAACAGCCAGCAAAACAGGCCAAAGAUGGAAGGGGUUGAGCACAGAAUAGUUAAGGUGAAUGGCAUAAACAUGCACGUUGCAGAGAAGGGGGCAAGGCCCGGUCAUUCUUUUCGUCCAUGCCUUCUCCGAGCUAUGGUACCUUUGGCGUCACCAGAUUGCUGCUUUGUCUUCCAAGGGUUACCGACCUGUGGCCCCUGACCUGAGGGGCUACGGUGACACGUAUUCUCCGGAUUCAGUCACCUGUUACACCUGUUUCCAUAUAGUGGGGGAUUUAGUUGAGCUUUUAAACACCAUCGCCCCUGACCAACAGGUGUUCGUGGUUGGCCAUGAUUGGGGAGCUAUCAUUGCUUGGUAUUUGUGCUUGUUCAGGCCAGACAAAGUGAAAGCUGUGUUCAACCUCAGUAUGCCCUUUACUCCACGUAAUCCACAAAUGAAGCCCACUGAUGGGUGGAGAGCUAUCUAUGGGAAUGAUUAUUACAUAUGCAGAAUCCAGGUAAAUCACAUUUUUUCAGUGUCUUUUAAACCACAAUUUGUAGUUCCCGGCAAGGCUUUCUAUUCAUUUUUUCCACAGUAUCCUAAGAAAUAUGUUCAAAGAUGGCAACAACAGCAGCUGCAUGCAAGAAACCAUGCAAAGUGCACGUUGCAUGAAGAGAACCAGAAAUCCAGCCGAUGCAUGCUUGUGUCCAUGGUGUAAUUCGACAGCAGCAUGUUUUAUUUUGUUGACUUUUGAUAGUUAAUGCUUUAAUCAUUUUAUGCUUUGGUCAGCUAAGGUUAAUUGUGUGCUUAGCUGAUUUUGUAGCUCUUUUAGGUUAUUAUUAAGUUGAUGUAAACCUUUAGUUACUUGCACAAGCAAGCUUUGUUUUCUUUCUAUGUAUUUUUGUUCUAUUUAUGUAUGUAACUAUGCACUUAUUCGGGUAAUGAAGAAAUCAUCUUGUUCAUUCAACCUUCUCUUGUUUUUUGCUUCGGUUUUAUCUUUCAAACAUCUCAACAUUCAUUUUAGUUGAUUUUAAACUUCAUUGCUGAGUUAAAAAUCCAACAAAAUACAACUGAAACACAUUACAGGAACCUGGAGAAAUAGAAGCUGAGUUUGCAGAGAUGGGUACAGAGACCGUAAUGAAGGCAUUGCUAACAUACAGAGUUCCAGAUCCAUUAAUGUUACCCAAAGGGAAACCAUUCGGCCAUUCAGCAAAUACCCCAAUUACAUUGCCUUCUUGGUUAUCAGAGGAAGAAGUUAAUUACUAUGUCACUAAGUUUAACAAAAGCGGCUUCACUGGUGUGAUCAACUAUUACCGUAACUUUGAUCGGUAUUUAAUUCUUUUUCCAACUUUAAACACCCCCGUAAUAGGUGCUUUUUACCUUCUGUCUCAUGAUUUAACCUUACAUGUGUGUGUGUGCGCGCGCGCAGAAAUUGGGAAUUGAUGGCACCAUGGGGUGGUUGUGAGGUAAAGGUUGCUGCCAAGUUCGUAGUGGGUGAUGUGGACCGGUUUACUAUAUGCCCGGCUUGAAAGAACACAUUCACAAUGGUUGAUAUUCAAGAAAGAUGUGCCAAUGUUGGAAGAAGUAGUGGUAAUGGAAGGAGUUGGGCACUUCAUCCAUAUGGAAAAACCCGACGAGAUUAACAACCUCAUUUAUGACUUCUUCCAUCAGUUUGAUUAAUAUUUUGUUUUAAAUCCUUGUCUGUUCCAUCUAUAUUUGUGUAAUAAAAUUUGGGUAGCUUAAGGACCUUAAUCAUCUGUGCAUGAAUCCAGCUGAUUUCGGGAACUGAUAUUUGAUCUUUCCAAUCCCCCGACAUCCUUCCCCGAAUGUUUUUAGAUAUGUAAUUGAAUUAUUUGUGUUUAGCAAAUAUUUGUAUACGAGAUUUAUAGCUUCUUUUCUUGAGACUAACAAUGAUAGUAUUAAGUACAAGUUUCUAGAGAAGGAUGCACAAAUUUAUUUAUUUAUUUAUUUAUUUUUUUGAUAUACUAUCAAUUUGUUGCUAUUGAUCUAUCAAAAUUAAGAUAGUUAAUAAGAUUUUUUUAAAAAGAUAAUGUAUAAGAUAGUUAAAUCACAUAGUUAAAGAGGACGAAGACAGAAAAUUAUUUUUAAGGAAAUUAGAGAUAAAUUAUAAAUUUUAGAUAGGAUUAAAGUGUAAUUUUAUCAUUAUAUUAAUUUAUAAUUUCAUAAAUUUUAAAUUGACUAAGAAAUAUAUUUACCAUUUUUUAAAGGGCAAGGCUAUUACAUGGAGGAGAAAAGAUUGUAUGAAACUGUAAUUCCACAUCAUCCCUAUUCCUUUUCAACAGGAGAAUGACAAUUCAAAUUUUUCCUCCUGAUUUUCAGCCUUUCCCUCCUAAAAAAAGUUAAAUCCAACUAAAAAUAUGCUAAAACUCAAGAGUAAAAAGUUGACUUGUCAUUCUCCUAUUGGAAAGUGAUAAGGAUGAUGUGGAAUUAUAGCUUCUUACAAUCCCUUCUCUACAUCAAAAAUAUAUUAAACUAAUAAAGUUCAGAAGAUGACUUAAACUUAUCUAUUAAAUCAACAAAUUUAAAAGAAAAUUUGAAAAGUCUUAAAAGCUAAAAAAUGCAAUAAUGUCUAAAAUAAUCAUUUCCCAAACUUCCCAUUCCCAUGUUCACAACAUAAAGCCAAAACAUGUUCACUUGCUAAUGGUCUUGGUUAGCACAUCAAGCCACCUAAGAGAUAUCCCUCCGCUCACUACCAACUGGCCAAUUACCAGAAGAUUGAUGGUUCGGAAGGCCAGAUUCCAACCAACCUUUCGUCUUCCUCGGAAGGAUUCUUGUCAACCAUCCUUGUAAGGUUACUACCCGCUUUCUACAGAAGGUUUUCACCUAUCCCUUCCUAAGGAACACCUGCUCUUCUGUUCAGAAUGUGACUUUUAGGUUUACAAACUCACAAUUCAAAAGGAAUGACAAAAUGCGUCUCAUUACAAACAUAUUUCCCAUCCAUCCCACAAUGAUGGUGUGAUAGCAAGUUCACCGCAUUAGCAUCACCAAACACAAAACCUCGUUUAUAUACCUCCUCUAGCACGCACGUGAGAUGAAGGAGGGAUUGGCUCUUAUUACCCUCAGCAUCCAUAUUUGUGUCCUCAAGAUCCUCACUCACAUACGUUCUCUGGCUCUCCGUCCUAUCUGGGUGAACUAGCCUUCAUCAGCACCAACGUACCCUCCUUCAUGUUUCCUCCCUUAUUGAUACCUAACAUCAACAAGGAACAAACUCAAAAUCAUGAAAAUUGGAUUACUGUAAUGUCUUUCAUAUAAAAAAACAUAAUUCGACAACAUAUUUUUGCAAAACAUAUUUUAUAUAUACACCGAAACAUAUUUCAUAAUCAUAUGAUGAAAUUUAAAUAUAGAAAAAUAAUAAUAUUUAGAUAGUUCAACCAUACAUGUUUCAAAUUUUAAUACUACUAGCAUUUUUAACUUGAUUUUCAUAAAAUAUGGUCAAAAAUAUCAUAUAUCACAUAAAUAACAUAAAAAUAUUUUAAAAUUAAAAUUUUUAAAAAAUAUGGAGUCACUUACUCACGCAAAUCUCCUGAUGUUCUAAACUAAAGUUAAAAAUUAGAAUUCAAACAAUAAAUUAAAAGUUUAAAAUGUACAAAUUUCUAUAUUAACCUGAGUCAUGUAACUAUAAAUUUCCGCAAGUCAUUUGCCUCCGACAGAAUUUAUGCAUCCACAUUCAUCUUGCAUGCCUUUAGAGCUUGUUUGGUUGGGGGGAAUCGGUAUGCAUUCCCCCUAUUACCUGGGCCCACCACCAAACAAACGUUUGGUUGGGUGUAAUCGUAUUACACCCCUAUUCCCUUCCGUGUCUAUUACUGGAUAUUGGCUGUAAUAGCCAUUCUGAGUUUGAAGCGGCGAUUAGGGAUUCCCAACUAAUUCCCAAUUUUAUUUUUCCUGUUCUGCCCUCAUUCUCUCCCGACGUUUCCCAAUUUUUUCCCUUCCAGAUUUCUACUUCUUCUCCUGGUACGGUACGCUUCUUUUCCUCUCACAUUUCUUUUCUUUUCUCCAUUUUCUUUUCUCCAGAUUUCUACUUCUUCUUCCAAAUUUUUUCCUUGUUUUUCUCUUCUUUUCUUUUCUGUAAAAUUGAUUUUGAUUUUGUUUUGCUUUUGCUUUUGCUUGUGCUCAAAUCUAGAAUAUUUGUUUUUCUUCUCCUAAUUUUGAUUCGUUUCUAGCGUUUUCCAUUCGGCUUUUCUUUGUAUUGCAUGUUAGAUGAAAUUUUUUUCAUUCAUCAUGUUCUAUUAUUUGUUUAUUCUAUUGCAUGUUUGCCUGAUUCUAUUGGUUUCCUUUGUUGUGCUUUGCUGUGAGAGUGAGUGAGUGUUUGCUGGUCAAUCUGCAGAAUGUGAUUUUAAUAUAGGGGGAAAUACAGUGAACGUGCUCAUCUUUGUCUUUCGAGUCUGAAACUAAAACAACACUCUCACGCUUUGAAGAUUUUUAUUUUUUUAUGUGAUGGAUUUUUAUUUUUAUUUUAGUAAAAUAGCUAGUUGAUGCUACUUUUUUGUAAUCUUCAGGUAAUAUCAAUUCCAUUGUUGUCAUGUUUCCCCCAUAUAGCAAUGCUUUCAGGGGUAGUCCUGCAUUUGGUGAUAAAUUGUGCAGCCAUAUUAAGAAACACUCUAUCUGUAAGUGAAUCUAAAUCCUAAAUAUGUACAAAUACAUGGAGAAGUUUCUGGUUAUGAACUCCAGGUUCUGAAUCCAAUGAAUACACUGAAAUGAAUCAGACACGUUUCUUUUAAACUGUUUUUCUUUCUUUGUUCUUUUCGGUUGAAACCGUCUGAUUUAUGGGGAAAAUUCAUUGGUAUCGUGUAGGUUUCACUUGUUACUGGAUUAUUCAUAUUGCUGAACAAUGCAGUGGUAAUGUUUUCUGCCCAUAUUUUGGGAAAUAUUUCAUUUUAAAUCUAUGUUGAACCCUUCAUUUUUCUUUUCAGACAUGGGGGUGGACAUACAACCCUCCAAAUACAUAGAAACACUGAGAAAAACAAUUGUAUUAAUUGACUUUGAUUGUAUAUACAUGAAUUAUCAUUCCUCUCUCUGGCUUCAACAUUGUUUGUUUAUUCUUUUUCUUGUUUCAGCCUCAAAGUCAGAGAGGGGCUGCUAAUGCCAUUUCAAUAACUGCAAUGUCUAUUUUCAAAGCACUUGGUCCAGCAAGAGGAGGAGCGUUGUAAGUAUCUUUUUUCUUUCCAUUUUCUGUAUGUAUUUUAGCUUUUUAUAUAUGAAUCACACUAGUCUAUUUGAGCAGCAAAAUCUGCACAGUUCAGCACUUUCAAUUUUUACAAACUGACAAUGCUUUUGUGCCACAAUGUCGUCGACAUAUUCGAGAUUUUGAUGGAGAGGUCUUAGUUUACAUUGUUGAUAAAACGUUGAACUUAAUUAAUUCUUAAAUUUCAAAGGUCUUGAAGGGCCAAAUGUGAGGGCUUCUUAUUAUGGUUGAUUAUAUUGUUAAAAUGAAAUCUAUAGAACCUGAACUAGGUCAAGUUGAUGCAUGUGGUUACCCUUAAAAAGUAAUGCAGUAGAUUUAGUGUUCGAUUCCUAGAAUGUGUAACAUCUUCCCUUAACCUCAAGCCGCAACCUUUUUUAUACCCCUUGCUUAGAGAGACAAAACCAAAGAUUAAUUCAAUCUUAAAUUUAGCAAAUGUUUGUUUUCUUCCUAGCCAAUUUAUAUACCAGAACUACUAUUUUCUUUUGACUCAAUAAGGGUCUUAUCAACCUUUUUUCGUUCAUGAAAAUGUAGAUUUUCUUGGGCACAAGAGCGACAAGUUGCCUCUUUUCUUCCAGGUUUGUAGUUGAAUCCUAAUAAUACAGCUUCAAAAUAGGCUCGGAUCGAUUUACUAUUUAUACAUGUCGGUAUUUAAUACAAGACAUUUCUUUGAUUUUUGGAUUUUGGAAACAGGUGAUCAAAUGGUUUUCUUUGCGCUAAUCGUGGUUCAAUUUAUUGGGUUGCUAUUGACUUUCAAGCCCUUUCUUGCUGAACCGUACCAGAGAGAAUAGCAUCAACGAUUAUUUUUUUAGUUCACUUCAUCGGUGUUCUCAUCAUAUGAAUCAUUGUUGAUUAGUGAAUUGACCCGAAUAAAGUUUGUAAUAUUUGGGAUGGUACGUCAUUACGAUGUUCUAAUUUUUUGAUGUUGAAAAACAGUAUAACAUAUGGAUUAUGACAUAGAAUUUCAUGAAUUUCAUGUAACCUUUUGUUAAUAUAUGAAUAUUAUGUUUAUGCAAAAUAUAAUUCUCAAGUUAUUUAUUAUUAUUAAUAAUUUUUUUAUUGUAAAAUAAUUAAAUUAUUUGUUUCACUAAUGAUAUUUUAGCACAUUAAAUAUGUAUUGCAGUUUAAAAAUAAUAAAUUAGAUUAUUUUAAAUUAUAUUUUAUAGUAUUAUAUAUUAUGAUUUUAGUAAAUUCAUAUAAGAAUAAUUAUAUUGAAUUUUAUUAAAUUAUAUAUUUUUAUUAAAUUAUAUUUAAUAAUUAUUAUUUUAAAUUAUAUUUUAUAGUAUUAUAUAUUAUGAUUUUAGUAAAUUCAUAUAAGAAUAUUUAAUAUUAAGAAUUUUAUUAAAUUAUACAUUUUGAUUAAAUUAUAUUUAACAAUAAUUAUUUUAAAUUAUAUUUUAUAGUAUUAUAUGAUUUUAGUAAAUUCAUAUAAGAAUAUUUAAUAUUAAGAAUUUUAUUAAAUUAAAUAUUUUUAUUAAAUUAUAUUUAAUAAUAAUUAUGUUAAAAUAUGAUUAAAUUAUUUAUUAUUUAUAUUAAUAAUCUUAUUAAAAUUUAAUAACAAUAACAAUAAUCAUCUACCUAACAAAAAUUCUGCUAAGGGUAUUUUAGUCAUUUUAGUUUUUUUCCUUAUGCUAUUACAAUAUCAUUUCUUUCAACCAAACACAAGAAUACUAUUACAAUUCUAUUCCAUUUCAUUCAACCAAACAAUUGAAUUACUAUUACGCCUCUAUUCCAUUACACCUCUAUUCCAUUAUAGCGAACCAAACAUGCCUUUAUAUUUUAGAACAAUGCAACAGACCUUAUUCGUAAAUAUCGAAACAUGAAACAAUAUGAACAAAUAAUAUGAGUACAAUAUCAAAUCAUAAAUGUAACACCCCUAACCCGUAUUCAUCGCCGAAAUAGGGUUACGGAGCAUUACUGAAGUUUACAAAUCAAAUAGACAAACAUUUCAUAUCAUAUAGCAUUCAUGUCAGAAACCAAUCGAAAACAAACAUAUUGUCCCUUAUAUGAGCCAUCGAGGCCCAAAAUACGCGUUAAAACCAAGUCGAGACUAGAUCGGAUACUCAAAAUUUUUUUCAAAAAAACAUUGAAAUUUUUCAAAGCUGCAGGGGCCGCACGGCGUGUGACUCACACGGUCAGGAGACACACCUGUGUCUCAGGCCGUGUGGACAUUCGAAAUAGGGACACGCAGUCGUGUCCUAGCUCGUGUCUGUGCCCGUGUAAUUCUCUGACUUAGGUCACAUGGCCAAGUCACACGCCCAUGUGCUAGGCUAUAGGAGCAUACUAACUUGCACUCUUAAGAAGAUACGUGUGUCACACACAGCUGAGUCACACGCCCGUGUCUCUGCCCAUGUGGAUGAAAAUAGGCCAAUUUCCAAGCCAUAUUUCUCACCCAAUUUGACAUCAACCUAACUCAACAUUUUUGCACAUCAACAAUCCAUAACAAGGCAUUCAAAAUAAGCUAAAAUCAAGUCUUAAAUAUAAAAUAUCACCACAUACAACCAAUAUGCCCUUAGGCACCUCAAAUGACAAAUUAAAAACAUGUCAACCAAGUAUCUCAACUUACCUAAAUGACCAAGUAUAUAUAUGCAUAUUCAAACCACAUUUUACUUUAUUUCAUUCUACCAUAUCAAUCACACAUCAAACAUGAUAAGUCCACAUAUAUACACAUCAAAAUAUACCAAACACAAGCCAUAUAAAUGGUUAAUCUCAACAAAAAUACUUAUAUGCCAACAUUGGUCAAAUUAACUUAUACAUGUCAUUAUAACAGAAAUUAAUUUACUGAAAGUACCAAAAGGAUAGAUGGAUAGUGUGAAAUAGCUCCGACUAGCUUCCAACCGAACGAGCUUCUGAAUUACUAUAAAACAUGAAAAAUAACACAAAGUAAACAUUUAAGCUUAGUAAGUUCGUAUAACACGGAAUUUAACUUACCAUAUAUCCAUAAAAUAGGUAAGUAAACAUAGCAUAUCACAACCAUUUUGGCCAAAAGCCUAAACACACGAUCACCAACAUAUUAGCCAUGUAAAUCACAUAUAAGAUCCAACACACAUGGUGCCAAACUGGUGUGUUUUGGUUGGAUCCAUGUAUCCGUCCGAGUCCGAGUCAUGUUAAUAGGGGUAAUUAAAUGAGAUGAUAUUAUGAUUGGAAUUGAAAAGUAUUGAAAGUGAAAUGGAAAUGAGAUAAAUGAACUGUGCACUUUAUUGUGAAAAGUUAUUUGAGAUAGCAAUUGAUGAGAAAUUGAAAAUGUUAAGAUUAAUUUAUUAUGAAUUGAUCAAAUUGAAUGACUAUUGUUAUUAUGAGAUUAAACGUGCAUAUUACUUUAUUUUAUUUUUUAAUAUUCAGAUUAUAGAAAUACCACUAAGUUCAUACUUAGUGUACGGUUUAUUUUCCGUGUGCAGGUUAGGUACUUAAGAGUUGACCGUAGGUUCAACAUCCACAACGAUCCCGAACUCAAAACUUGGUGAUGUAUACUUCUUUUUGUGUUGGCAUGUACCUAGGGCGUCUAAAUGUUAACUAUUUUAUGAAGUGAUUGUAAAUAAGAUUAUAAGUUAAUGUUGGUUGAUUAUACAUAUGUAAAUAUAUGUGUUUAUAUAGAGGCUAUAACAUGGCAUGUUUAAGUUAAUGUGUAAAUGAACAAGAUAUAGGCAAAAAUGGAUUGAAAUAGACAUAUUUCCAAUUUGGUUUUGAAUGGUGUCCUAUUGAAAUGUUUUGAUAAUAUAUGUGAAGUACCUAUGAGGGUACAUUGGUUAGGAAACUAGGAUGAUUGUUUUGACAUGUUUUAAAGGUAUUAAAUCGUGUUUUAAAGUGAUUGAACGAUUGGUUUUUGAGUUACUUGGUGUUCAAGGUUGCAGGGAAGAGUAAACUUGAUAUUUAAGGUUCAUUUUGAGUCCACACGGCCAGACACACGGGCAUGUGACUGGACCGUGUGAGACACACGGCUAACACAUGGGCGUGUGUCCCCUGUACCUAGGAAAAUUUUUAAAAUUUUGUGAAAAAUUCCUGGAGUACCCGAUUUAGUCUCGAUUUGUUUCUAACACAUAUUUUGAGCCCCUAGGGCUCAUAAAAGGGACAAUAUGAUUAAAUUAUGAUGUGUAUGCUAGAUGAUUAUAUAAUGUUCAUAUUUGAUCUGAAAAGUCCGGUAAUGCUCCGUAACCCCAUUUCGGCGACAUAUAAAGGUUAGGGGGUGUUACAUUUAGAAUUAUUCAACAUGAACAGCAUCUAAAAAUUCAAUAUUUUCUAAAAUUUCAAUAUAGGUUAAGUAGUAUUUAAUACUAGGAUUCUAAAAACAUAAAAAUUACAAGAAAAUGGACUAAAUUAACUUACCAAUUAAGCUUUGAACUCUUAAAAACCCUAAUUUUUCUUCUUUUUCUUUCAUUUCUUUCCUUCUCUGUUUCGUUUCUUUGUUUUGUUUCUUUUUCUAUUCUUUUUCUUUUAUUUAUUUAGUUAUUACAAUAUAAUAUAAUAUAAUAUAAUAUAUACUUAACUUUUAAGUAAUAUUAUUAUAUUAUUAUAAUAUAUAUUUUAACUUCAAAUUUUUAAAUAAAUAUAUACUUAUGCUGCCUCAAUUUAUGUAAUUGGCCUAAUUGCUUAUUUGGCCCUUUUAACUUUCUUUAAUCUAUAAUUCAACUUCCAAACUAUAUGCAAUUUAGUCAUUUUACCUAAUUACUCUUAAUUCAAGCUAAUUCACCUAACCAAGACCUAACUAACCACACAACUAACUUUGUAAAUAUUUUUAAUAAAUAUUUACGAAUCCAUUUUACAAAAACGAAAACUUGAAAAUACACUUUUCAAUUACCCGUGACUAUCGGGUAGCUACAUGUGCCACACGGCCAAGCUACACGCCCGUGUGUUAGGCUGUGUGAGGUUACCUAAAUGCUUACUUUAGAAGUUACAGGGGACACACGACCAUGUCUCUUGGUCGUGUGUCACACACGGCUGAGACACACCCCUGUGUGGACAAAAAUAGGCUAUGUUCCAAGCCAUAUUCUCACCCAAAAUUUGCCGCAACCUACUCACAUCAAAUAGCAUAUGACCAUAUCAUCAAUAGGCAUUCAAACAAACCAAAGUCAAGUAUAAAUCAUGCAAUACAUUACCCACAACCAUAAUGCUGAUAUGCAUCAUAAUUUACCAUUUAAAAAACAUGCCAAUAUCACCUCCAAAAGCUACCUAAAUGGUCAAGUACAUAUAUGCAUUAUCUUGCCUAACCAUUACAUGCUUACCACUUAUCAAAUUCAUCUAUAAUUUACUAAGCUAUCAAAGCAAAAUCAAGACACUCCCAUGGCAAUCAUACAUACUAGAAAAUGAGGCUAGCUACACAUAUAUAUAUACAAACCAACAUAUACCAAAACAAGCCAAAUCAAAUGGCUAAUUACAUAACAAAACAUAUAGGCUUUCAUUAGCCAAAUGACCUAUACAUGCCAUAUAACCAAAAUACAUAAAGUCCAAAAGUAUAAAAAUGAGAGUUUGAUAGUGUGAUGCAAUCUCCGACUACUUCCAAACCGAGCGAGCUCCCGAAUCACUAUAAAAUACGGAAAAUUAAACAGAGUAAGCAAUUAAGCUUAGUAAGUUCGUAUAACAUAAAACUCAACUUACCAUUUAAUCACAAUUUAAGUAAUUAAAUAUAGCAUAAUGCAACUCAAUUUGAUCUACAAGCCUAACACAUAUUCAUCCACAAGGUUAGACAUGAAAUCACAAAUCUUAUAGAUUCAAUUCUCACAUGAUUCACAUACAUACCUGUACUAGUUCAUAUCACUCAUACACUCUCGUAAUAACACUAUGCCCGUUGAACCAUUUGGAAUAAUAUUGGAUACUUAGGCAUCUCGCACACUAAGUGCCAAUACAUGGUCGAAACCACCUCCAUCUCAUAUCUCAUAUGGAUGCUCACUCUCGAGCCAUCAUUGGGUCUGCUCACACAAGCUGAUGGUCAAAACGUAGCUACACGGUGCUGCUCACAUAAGCUGUCAAGUAACCGCAACACAUGCCGAAAACUUAGCCACCGGUAGGACGUACGAGACCAGCACCCAAAACACGGUAACCCUUAAUGACAUGUCAUUUGUAUCAUAUCUAUUCUUAAGGUUCAACCGGGAUCCAUACGAUUGCUGAUAUCUCGUCGAGAAUUUUCGUAGUAUCAUAUCAUCCAAUUAUAUCAAUUAAGCAUGUAAACACAUAUAUAAUUUAAAGCUUAUUAACAUACAAACUUACCUUGAACUCGUACGGCAGAAAUUUAUCGUUCAGUCUAAAACUUUAUAUUUUCCUCGAUCUAAUUCCGUACGUUGCUUUUCUUGAUCUAUAUAAUCAAAUUUAACUAAUUUAAUUCAUAUUUUACUCAAUUCAAUCCAAAUUUCAUGUUAUGGUAAAACUAUCAUUUUGCCCUUAAACUUUUGACUUCUUUGCAAUUUACUCCUAAACUCAUAAAAAUGCAAAUUCAUGCAAUUUAGUCCACACCCAUGCUGGCCGAAUAUCAUCUAAGCUUAAAGAAGCCCAUACAUUUCAUUAAUUUACACAUUUCACCACAUAAUUUUCACAUUUUACAAAUAAAUCCUUAUUUGACAUUUUCAACAAAAAUCACUUCAUAAAACUUGUUUAUCUAACAACAAUUCAUUUUCUACCAUUAAAGUUCAAAACCCUAACAUAUACAUCAAUGGAAAAAUUCAAACAACUCAAUAGUUUUGCAAAUUAGUCUUAUGCUACCUAGAUUAAGCUACAACGAUUCUAAAAACAUAGAAAUCGGAGUCAAAAAUCAUUUACAUGCACAAGAAGACUUGACCGAAUGCUAUGAACCCAAAAAUGGUGUUUUUAUUCCCUUAAAUUUUGGAAAAAAUAUGAAUGAAUAAGAAAUUUGGACUUUAUUUUACUUAAUUUGCUUUUAUUUAAUAAAUUACAUAUAUAACCUUUAUUAUAAACUUUAAAAUUCACCUAAUUCAUAUCCAAGAAUGUCCACUAACUUUAUAAAUGCUAAAAUUACCACUUAAAUCCACUCAUGUUUCAAUUUCAUAGCAAAUUGACACCUUAUUCUAAAAGAACACAAGUUUUACACUUUACUCGAUUUAGUCCUUUUAUCAAAUUAAUCAUGCAAACGAUAAAAUUUCUCAACAAAAUUUUUAUACAACUCUAUUAAGAUUCUGUAGACAUUAAAAUAAUAAUAAAAUAAAUAUUUUUACUUUAAAUUUGUGGUCUCAAAACCACUAUUCUGAUUUCACUAAAAACGGGUUGUUACAGUACAAACUCGGUGAACCACUCAUUCAUCAUCUGGAAGAAGGCUUUUUUAGCCACUCCUCCCUAGUCCUCAGAUACGGGCCUCUACCACUCGAAUCUACUCCUUGAAUGUAGGCUUGAGCGUUACUCUCUAUUUCAUUGGAAUCAACUCGGUUGGAUGUCAUUGCUAUAUGAAAACAUGUUUUAAAAUGAUUAGGAGAUAUCACACUAUCACAGGUUAUAUAAUGGCAUGUAUAGCUAGACUCGUAUAUGCUACGUUAGUCUGAGAAUUGACUAAACCGUAGCUCUUAUACCAAUAAAUGUAACACCCCUAACCCGUAUCCAUCUCUGAAACAGGGUUACAAAACAUUACCAGAAUUUACAAAUCAAAUAAACAAACAUUUUAUAUCAUAUAGCAUUCAUGUCAGAAACCAAUUGAAAACAAACAUAUUUUCCCUUAUACGAACCCUCGAGGCCCAAAAUACGCGUUAGAAACAAGUCUUGACUAGAUCAGGUACUUAAAGAAUUUUUCAGAAAACAUAAAAAAUUUUCAAAGCUGCAGGGGUCACACGGCCGUGUGGCCAGGCUGUGUGACUCACACGGUCAAGAGACACGCUUGUGUCUUAGGCUGUGUAGGCAUUCGAAAUAGGGACACAGGGUCGUGUCCCAGCCCGUGUCCGUGCCUGUGUAACUCUCUGACUUAGGUCACACGGCCAAGUCACACGCCCUGUGCUAGGUCGUGUGAGCAUACUGACUUGCACUCUUAAGAAGAUACAGGGGACACACAGCCAUGUCACCUAGCUGUGCGUCACACAUGGCUGAGACACACGCCCGUGUCUCUAUCCGUGUGGAGAAAAAUAGGCCAAUUUCCAAGCCACAUUUCUCACCCAAUUUGACAUCAACCUAACUCAACAUUUUUGCAUAUCAACAAGCCGUAACAAGGCAUUCAAAACAAGCCAAAAUCAAGUCUUAAAUAUAAAAUAUCACCACAUACAACCAAUAUGCCCGUAGGCACAUUAAAUGACAAAUUAAAAACAUGUCAACCAAGUAUCUCAAUUUACCUAAAUGACCAAAUACAUAUAUGCAUAUUCAAACCACAUUUUACUUUAUUUCAUUCUACCAUAUCAAUCACACAUCAAACAUGAUAAGUCCACAUAUAUACACAUCAAAAUAUACCAAACACAAGCCAUAUAAAUGGUUAAUCUAAACAAAACACUUAUAUGCCAACAUUGGCCAAAUUAAUCUAUACAUGCCAUUAUAACCGGAAUUAAUUUACUAAAAGUAUCAAAAGGACCGAUAGAUAGUGUGAAAUAGCUCCGACCAGCUUCCAACCCAAACGAGCUUCCGAAUUACUAUAAAACAUGGAAAAUAACACAAAGUAGGUAUUUAAGCUUAGUAAGUUCGUAUAACACGAAAUUUAACUUACCAUGUAUCCAUAAAAUAAGUAAGUAAACAUAACAUAUCACAAUCAAUUUGGCCAAAAGCCUAAACACAUAAUCACCAACAUAUUAGCCAUGAAAAUCACAUAUAAAAUCCAACACACAUGGUUGAAUUCACCAAAUAAUCAUAUUUCAUGUAUUUCAUGUAAAUACCAGUAAUAGUUCAUAUCAAACUCAUAUAAUCUCGUAAUAGAACUAUGCCUGUUGAACCAUUUAAAAUAUCGUUGGAUACACGGGUAGUACACUUGAGGUGUACUGAAUUGUUAUCCGUCAAUUCAUAUUCAUGUAUACUCAUACAUGCUAUGAAUCAGUAUGCUCUCACAAGCUGUGAAUCGGGAAGCUCAUACAAGCUACAAAUCGGGAAGCUCAUACGAGCUAUAAAUAAGCUCAUACGAGCUGUGGUGUGUCCGCAACACAUGCAGGACCCUAACAAAAUCGAUAACCCUAAUGACAUAUCAUUUGUAUCCUACGAAUUUCUUAGGUUCAAAUGGGACUCAGUAAUCGUCAGAUAUGAAAUCGGUAUUUAUACAUAGCAAUUAUACAAAUCACAUACAUAUGAUUCAAUUAAAACAUAUAAAUACUCAAUUUAAUUACACGAACUUACCUCGACAAAUGUAUGUAAACACGGAGGCGACUAAUCUGAUAUUUUCUCUUUACCUCGAUCUAACUCUGUACGAGGUCUGAAAGGAUCUAUACAAAUAAAUUUAAUUCAUUUCAAUAUAAUUCUCAUUCAAUUUAAUCCAACGUGGAAUUUUGGCAAAAUUACUAUUUUCCCUAUACUUUUAAUUCUUUUUUAAUUUAGUCCCUAGGCUCGUAAAAUGAAAUUCAUACAAUUUAAUCAUUACUCAAGUCUAGCCGAUUUUAUACAUAUUAAUAGAAGCUCAUAUAUUUCACAAAAUUUACAAAUUUUACCAUAAAUUUAUCUUCUUUUUCAAUUUAAUCUCUAAUUGAUAAUUUCAUCAAAAUUCUCUUUACAAAAGUUGUUUAUCUAACAUUAACCAUUCAUUUUCUGUCAUCAAACUUCAAAAUUCAAGCAUAUUCAUCAACGGUAAAACCCUAAUACUUUAACAGUUUUGCAAAUUAAUCCCUAGACUAGCUAGAUUAAGCUACUACGAUCUUAGAAACAUAGAAAUCAUCAAAAAGGGGACAAAAAUUCAUACCUAAUAUUUGAGAAAAAUAAGCUUGCCUAAAUUUUCAAGCUUCCAUGACUAGGUUUCUUUUUUUGGUGGAAGAUUAUGAGAAUGGAUGAUAAUAGUUUAUUUUAUUUAAUUUAUCAUAACUUUAAUCACUAAUUUCCAAAAUUAACCUUAAUAAUUCAUUCAAUUUCCAAUGAUGACUAUUCAUGCUUAUCCAUUAACAACUUUAAUGGCUAAUUACUGUAUAAAGACCUCAAAUUUAAAAUUCUAUAGCUAUUUAAUACAUUUAACUAUUAGAAAUCAACUUUUUCACUUUAUGCAAUUUAGUCCCUAUUAUCAAAUUAAGUAUGUAAACCAUAAAGUAAUAAUAAAAUAAAUUUUUUGACUUCGGAUUUGUGGUCUCAAAACCACUGUUCCGAUUUCACUGAAAACAGGCUGUUAAAGUAAAUGUGAAUAAUUAAUAUAUAAAAUUUUAUAUAAAUAUACAUGGUUAUGAUAUGAGAAAAGUAGAGGUGUUGAUGGACUGGGUCGGGUCCAAUCAAAAUUCUAGCCAACCAAAAUUCUAGACCUAAUUGCUAGGACCGGGUCUGAUCCGGUCCAAAGAAGGGCCUAAAUUUUACCCAAACCUAGCAUGGAUAAAAAUGUUAAAACCCUGGCCCGACCCACCCAUAUUAAUUUUUUAUAUAAUUUUUUUAUAUAAUUUUUUAAAAAUAUAUAUAAUACGUCAAAAAUACUAAAAACAUCAAUAAAUUUAAAAACAAUAUAUAGACUUAAAUAACACCAAGAUAGGUGUAAGUUAACAAGCAAAUGCAUCUAAAAUAGUAACAAAUUUAAAAAUAAAACAAAAGCUAUACAAUAUCCAACCAACAACAAUAAAAUAGUGAAAAAAAUGGCAAAAAAUAACAAGAAAAAAAACAGCAAGAAUAGUAAAAAAAAUAGCAGAUUUUUUUUUUUUUUUUGCAUUUUCGGGCAGAAUUGAGCUUAGGGCAAAAAAGCAUUACCAAAAUCCUCCCACUUUCGGGCAGGCCUUCGGGUUAGGCCUGGCAUUGGAUGUCUAGAGCAAAGUCUAAAGAGAGAGAAGCAACAGAAGAAAAGUCGAUGUCUAUCUUCAUCAGCCUGCUUACAAAGAAACAUAUGCCAUUUGCAAUAGGUAGAUGGCAAGCUAAGCUUCUGGCCGUCCUUAAGAUUCUCAGCCAAUCAUUUAAGAUAUGCUUGGAAAUAUUAUGCUCUCACUAUAGCGUAGUACGUCCAAAAAGGUUUGAAGAGAAGAAAUAAUUUUUGUUUACCUAAUUUUAAGUAACAAACAAAGCUCAUAAUUGACGAAGACUAGUUGGAUAGAUGCAAACCAAAACUUGAAAUAUAUAAGAUAUGAAAUAUAAUGAUACAAAUAGAGAAAAAAAUCAACAAAAACAAACAAAAUCAGGGCCGGCAGGGAGGCGAAAACAUUUAUGUUUCAUUCAAAUGGCCGGUGUACCAUUUUAUUUUAUUUCUUCAUAAAUCCAAUUAUGAUGAUUGUGUGAGCAGCGAAAAAGCUCCACAAAAGAAACUGAAAUUAAGGUUGUGGAUGUGAAAGAUGGAAGGAGUUGAGCAUAGAGUUAUUAAGGUGAAUGGCAUAAACAUGCACGUAGCAGAGAAAGGGGAAGGCCCACUCAUUCUUUUCAUCCAUGGCUUCCCCGAGCUAUGGUACUCUUGGCGUCACCAGAUUGCUUCUUUGUCUUCCAAAGGUUACCGAGCUGUGGCACCCGACCUGAGAGGCUACGGUGACACGGAUGCGCCAGAUUUGGUCACCAGUUAUACCUGCUUCCAUAUAGUGGGGGAUUUGGUUCAGCUUUUAAAUAUUAUUUCCCCUAACGAACACAAAGUGUUGGUAGUAGGGCAUGACUGGGGAGCUGCCAUAGCUUGGUAUUUGUGUUUGUUUAGGCCAGACAAAGUGAAAGCUGUGUUCAACCUCAGUGUGCCCU